This 468-nucleotide ribosomal RNA is filed under the name uncultured bacterium. RNAcentral describes it as "partial 16S ribosomal RNA". It matches the Rfam family "Bacterial small subunit ribosomal RNA", at positions 28 to 507 of the family's 1533-position model. The record is from RNAcentral.
GACGAACGCUGGCGGCGUGCUUAACACAUGCAAGUCGAACGGAAAGGCCCUGCUUUUGUGGGGUGCUCGAGUGGCGAACGGGUGAGUAACACGUGAGUAACCUGCCCUUGACUUUGGUAUAACUUCAGGAAACUGGGGCUAAUACCGGAUAGGAGCUCCUGCUGCAUGGUGGGGGUUGGAAAUUUUCGGCGGUUGGGGAUGGACUCGCGGCUUAUCAGCUUGUUGGUGGGGUAGUGGCUUACCAAGGCUUUGACGGGUAGCCGGCCUGAGAGGGUGAACGGCGACAUUGGGACUGAGAUACGGCCCAGACUCCUACGGGAGGCAGCAGUGGGGAAUAUUGCACAAUGGGCGGAAGCCUGAUGCAGCAACGCCGCGUGCGGGAUGACGGCCUUCGGGUUGUAAACCGCUUUCGCCUGUGACGAAGCGUGAGUGACGGUAAUGGGUAAAGAAGCACCGGCUAACUACGUG